AACGAACGCUGGCGGCAUGCCUAAUACAUGCAAGACGAACGGUAAGUUGAGUAGCAAUACUUAGCCAAGAGUGUCGUACGGGUGCGUAACACGUAUGCAACCUACCCUAUACAGGAGGAUAGCCUAGGGAAACCUGGAUUAACCCUUCAUAGUAUUAUUGGAUGGCAUCAUUUGAUAAUUAAAACUGAGGUGGUAUAGGAUGGGCAUGCGUCUGAUUAGUUAGUUGGCGGGGUAAUGGCCCACCAAGACGAUGAUCAGUAGGGGUUCUGAGAGGAAGAUCCCCCCACACUGGCACUGAGAUACGGGCCAGACUCCUACGGGAGCAGCAGUAGGAAUAUUGGUCAAUGGAUGCAAGUCUGAACCAGCCAUGCCGCGUGCAGGAAGAAGGCCUUCUGGGUUGUAAACUGCUUUUGCCAGGGGAUAAAAUUUCCAUGCGUGGAAAACUGAAGGUACCUGGUGAAUAAGCCACGGCUAACUACGUGCCAGCAGCCGCGGUAAU
This 499-nucleotide ribosomal RNA is filed under the name uncultured bacterium. Its description in RNAcentral is "bacterial SSU rRNA". It matches the Rfam family "Bacterial small subunit ribosomal RNA", at positions 29 to 524 of the family's 1533-position model. The record is from RNAcentral.